Molecule: long non-coding RNA, 1199 nt
Filed under: Brassica napus (rape)
Lineage: Eukaryota; Viridiplantae; Streptophyta; Magnoliopsida; Brassicales; Brassicaceae
Description: long non-coding RNA (BNAP_LNC025602)
Source: RNAcentral
UUGACAAUCUCUCUCACCUUUGUAUCUCAAUCAACCGCUAACUACUUCUACUCUUCUCCUCCACCUCCGGUUAAACACUACCAAUACAAAUCUCCACCUCCUCCUGUUAAGCAUUACUCUCCCCCUCCAGUUUACCAUUCUCCACCACCACCUAAAAAACACUACGAAUACAAAUCCCCUCCUCCUCCGGUCAAGCAUUAUUCUCCACCACCGGUUUAUCACUCUCCACCACCACCAAAAAAGCACUACGAGUACAAAUCCCCUCCUCCUCCGGUUAAGCACUACUCUCCACCACCGGUUUACCAUUCUCCACCACCACCAAAGAAGCACUAUGUGUACAAAUCCCCUCCUCCUCCGGUUAAACACUAUUCUCCUCCUCCUGUUUACCAUUCUCCACCACCACCCAAGAAGCACUAUGUGUACAAAUCUCCACCCCCACCUGUUAUGCACUACUCUCCCCCACCAGUCUACCAUUCACCACCACCACCCAAAAAACAUUACGUAUACAAAUCUCCUCCUCCUCCGGUUAAACACUACUCACCACCUCCAGUUUACCAUUCCCCACCCCCACCUAAAAAGCAUUAUGUCUACAAAUCUCCUCCACCACCGGUUAAACACUACUCUCCUCCCCCGGUUUACCACUCUCCACCACCACCAAAGAAACACUACGUGUACAAAUCACCUCCUCCUCCAGUUAAGCACUAUUCUCCACCUCCAGUUUACCACUCUCCACCACCACCAAAGAAACACUACGUGUACAAAUCCCCUCCUCCCCCGGUUAAGCACUACUCCCCUCCUCCAGUUUACCAUUCCCCACCCCCACCAAAGAAACACUACGUCUACAAAUCUCCUCCUCCUCCAGUGAAACACUACUCUCCCCCUCCGGUUUACCAUUCCCCACCACCACCAAAGAAACAUUACGUGUACAAAUCCCCUCCUCCUCCAGUUAAACACUAUUCCCCACCACCGGUUUACCAUUCUCCACCACCACCAAAGAAGCACUACGUCUACAAAUCCCCUCCUCCUCCGGUUAAGCACUACUCUCCUCCUCCGGUUUAUCAUUCCCCACCACCACCUAAGAAAAAGUACGUAUAUAAGUCACCUCCUCCUCCAGUCCACCACUACUCUCCCCCACACCAUCCUUACCUCUACAAAUCUCCUCCUCCUCCAUACCACUAUUAGAAUUCUCUGUCACGGUA